GUUAACCAGACAGUCAGUCAGCAAAAGAGUCAAUAUAACCCUGCAGAAUAGAGACUCAAGGUCUUUUCCGAGGGACCUAUUGGACUCGCCUUUCCACAUAAAUCAGAUGGAGUAUGAUGUCCUCCUUCUGGAUGCAGCAGUGUGGAAACCUGUACACGGUCCAGGGAAGCAACAGGCAGCUUGAAGAAGGGAUGGACAGUGAGAUGGAAAGUGACCAGCAAGGCCAGAAAUCAUAGUAUAUGGGGAAAUGAUCAUUGACUGUGACUUACAGAUCUUGAAAGAAAUAACCUCAUGUACAACCUCCUACACAUGUGCUAUGCACAGAAUGUGUUGUGAGUCUGAAUGCAUCUCAUUGGCUUCUGUAAAAAGAGGUUACAUGUCCCACACUUGUUUACUUUUGUUUUUCAUUCUCUUACUGUAAUGUCUCGACACACACAUAUAUACACAUAAAUAAUCUAAGUGGUAUAAAGUUGUAUUUUCAUAUUGACAACUGGUUGUCAUGGUAACUCUUCAGCCUUCAGGUGAAAGUCCUGAAGUCCGACUCUCAGCUUUCAAAAUUGUCUAAUUAUAAACCCAGCAGCUGCUGCUGUUUGCCAUAUGCUUGACUUUGUGUGCGUGUGUGUGUGUGUGCGUGUACUGGUGUGUACGUGUGUGUGUGUGUGUAUGUUUGAAAGCAUACGUAGGACUUUCCUUCUGUGUACGUGAACACAUGUGAGUUGUAUAAUCAUGUUUUUUAUGGUGUGUGCAUGUUUAUGUGCAAAAACACAUUGGGCCUUUCCAUAACUCCUUUUAUAGUGUGUAUUCAGGGACAUAUUUAGUUACACUCUUCUGAAGCAGAGUUUAGGCAUAAAGGUUUGAUGCCUUGGAGAGUUUUUUAAAAACAAUAAAUCCAUCAAUCUGGAUCAGGUGAGGCAAUAGUGUUUUUUUUUUCAGUUUCAUUUCGAUUACAAUUAAAAAAAAAACACUGUUUAUUAAAUUUCAAGUCACGCAAUCUUCUUGCAACCCUUCAGAUUUCAUUUUUAUUAGAACAGCUCAAAAAAGGAAGCCCUUGAUCGCUUGUCUAAAACUCUGCAGAGAUUACUGUUUCCUCUUCAGCAUCUAGUCCUGACCAAUGAGAAGCUUUGUUUCUCAACACAGUGAUGCAACUGCUACUAUAUUACGUUCUCUAAACGUAUGUUUAAUAUAUGCUGUUGUGUGAUUAUGUGCUAUUCAGAGAUCCCCAUAUUUUCGAGUAAUGAAAUACAUAAUGUCAUCUUGCUUUGUAAAAGAUAAACUGAUUGGAGUGACUGUGCUUCCGUUUCAUA
This is a long non-coding RNA of Platichthys flesus (European flounder), 1304 nucleotides long. RefSeq lists it as uncharacterized. Lineage: Eukaryota; Metazoa; Chordata; Actinopteri; Pleuronectiformes; Pleuronectidae. The transcript has 3 exons. The record is from RefSeq and is a predicted model, not a curated record.